GGGGUUUCGUACGUAGCAGAGCA
This 23-nucleotide non-coding RNA is filed under the name Gallus gallus (chicken). Lineage: Eukaryota; Metazoa; Chordata; Aves; Galliformes; Phasianidae. RNAcentral also lists the same sequence under 1 other name. The record is from RNAcentral.